RNAcentral lists this ribosomal RNA (133 nucleotides) under uncultured bacterium. RNAcentral's name for it is "partial 16S ribosomal RNA". It matches the Rfam family "Bacterial small subunit ribosomal RNA", at positions 357 to 507 of the family's 1533-position model. The record is from RNAcentral.
GGGAAUUUUGCACAAUGGGCGAAAGCCUGAUGCAGCGACGCCGUGUGAACGACGAAGUCCUUCGGGAUGUAAAGUUCUGUCAGCAGGGAAGAUUAUGACGGUACCUGCAGAGGAAGCACCGGCAAACUAUGUG